This 253-nucleotide ribosomal RNA is filed under the name uncultured bacterium. Its description in RNAcentral is "partial 16S ribosomal RNA". It matches the Rfam family "Bacterial small subunit ribosomal RNA", at positions 524 to 776 of the family's 1533-position model. The record is from RNAcentral.
GACAGAGGGUGCAAACGUUGUUCGGAAUUACUGGGCGUAAAGCGCGUGUAGGCGGCCCUGCAAGUCGGAUGUGAAAUCCCACGGCUCAACCGUGGAAGUGCAUUCGAAACUGCAGGGCUAGAGUCCUGGAGAGGAAGGUGGAAUGCUUGGUGUAGAGGUGAAAUUCGUAGAUAUCAGGAAGAACACCCGUGGCGAAAGCGGCUCUCUGGAACGGUACUGACGCUGAGACGCGAAAGCGUGGGGAGCGAACAGG